RNA transcript from Argiope bruennichi, 4137 nucleotides. RefSeq lists it as uncharacterized. The record is from RefSeq and is a predicted model, not a curated record. NCBI's taxonomy places the organism in Eukaryota, Metazoa, Arthropoda, Arachnida, Araneae, Araneidae. The transcript is spliced from 19 exons.
AUCCGUGCUGCGUGCUCAUCUGUUGCCGGUCCGUAUAUUCUCCAUUACAUACAACCCCUCGAAUCGUAAAGGAAUCAUACCUUUUGGCGCUCACUCACCUGUUGGAUUUCUUAUGACCCCCUAACAGGAGAUCCAAAGAAAUGGCAGAACCUCGAGCGCUCAUCACUUUUCUGACGCCAACAAUUUUUCUCCUGACAAUAAGGACAAUCUCAGCUGCACCAUGCGGUGGUUACUUCACCAGUUUGAAAGGUUAUAUAUACACCCCGAACUUCCCUAAACCAUAUAAAGUGCCGAUACAAUGUCAGUGGGUGUUUGAUGCUCCUGCUGGCUACAAGGUGGCCGUCUAUUUCACACAGUUCUACAUGAAACGAGGGCUGGUGGCUGCUGACUACACCUACUACUCACAACAUCUCCAGACAGGUGUUGGGAAGUUCGAAUUCGGCACCAUCAGUUCGGACGAUGAGCCUACUUACUUGGUCAGCAACCAGCAGAUCCUCGUCUUAACUAUGAACGUUCGGUCGCUGGACAACAUUCACCUAAGAGUCAGGGAGCACAUUCUGGACGUCUCUGGGUUCAACAUCACAUACGAGAUGAUCUUGAAGAACGAGACUGUGAGAAACGACGCCUGCAUUUACCACCACUGUUCGUUCACCGGUUAUUGCUACGCCUCCGCAGAUUUCAACAAGUACGCGUGCAAAUGCUUCAAUGGAUACUUUGGGGAGGAAUGCCAGUAUGAUGACGCUUGUGGUCCCAACUCUACGUCAGAAGUGUGCCAGAAUGGUGGAACAUGCAGAUAUUACAUCGGAUCUUCCGUGCGGACGUGCGAAUGCUUGCCGGGAUACGUGGGAGCUAAAUGCGAAGGAUCCCUGCCUUCCGGAAAUGACGAAGAACCAAAUGAAACGGAUACCAACUGCCAGCGCUCCUACUACUCAUCUCCUCAGGGAUACAUCUCUGUUUAUCCUAAAAGAAGAAAAUGUCUUCAGGAAGGUGCUUUGCAGAUCCUCAGUCUGGAAAUCUCGGAGGCCAUGCCAGUCAACGAGGGCGUACCUUUGCUUGUUGCAUGCAUCGUCCAGAGUAGCGACGACACGAAAGUCACAUGGCUAAAGGAUGGUUUUCCGAUAGCCAUCCAGAAAUCUGCAGGACGGAUCUGGACCAUGCAGGUGCCAAAGGACUCAUCUGGGUGGUCAUCCUUUCUGCUUGGCUUCGAUAAAGUCAAUGAGCACGACACAGGAACCAUUACUUGCAAUGCAUAUGACGAUAGACAGAGUGAAGCGCUUUCUGUCUCUGUGACUGUCCGGCUGCGGUCGAAGCUCCUGAUAGAACCCCUCGCUGCUACACUCGCAGAGGGCAACUCCACCAGCAUUACUUGUGUCUCGAAGGAAGGCAUCUACGGAUCGUCAGGCUACAGGUGGCUCAAGAACGGCGGAGACCUGGACAGGAAAAGGGACGACGAGAGGGUGGAGGAUCUCUAUCCCGGAGGCACGCGGCUCAUUCUCAGGAAAGCGAAAGUUGCUGCAAAUUAUACAUGCGUUAUGCGAACAGUGAUCGGAUUCCUCCGCCAGACCAGCUGUAUCACAGUAGUGAAUGGAUCAGACUUCAACAAGCGCACCUGUCACCCAGAACGAAGAUACGGAAUCAGAUGGAAAGCCACUGCAGCUAACGCAUUCGACAUACAACAGUGUCCUGUUGGAUAUACAGGCUAUAUAAAGCGUCGGUGCAAAGUCAGAUUUAAUGGGAAAAUUGAAUGGAAUGAACCGGAUUUUUCCACAUGCUACUCCCCUCCCAUACUUGCCAUCAAAAAGGAGAUGGACAGUUGGCAGAUGGGCUACCGGAAGAAGACUGUGAACGCAGUGUUGGACGAGCUCUACGACUUCCUGUCCACCAGAUUAUCCAGCUUGCAUCCGUCAGAGGGAGAGCCGAUCGUUGACAUGAUGUUCGACACCGAUAUUCUAUCCAAUUCUCAAACUGACUUCGAGAGCACCUGGAAUCUAUUCCUGAACAGUGCAUCUCUCUUGCUUCAUUCAAAUCUUGUUUACAAACGACAACAAAAACUUAAGCUCCAACAACUUAUAAGGAGAAUAUCUGUGGCUUACGGAGGAAUGCGGGAUUUUCAAACGGCGUUAUUUUUCCAAACUGCUUGUUUAAGGGUGGAUAUCUUCAAAGCUACCGCAGCCACGCCGACUUCCCUGCAACUUCCGUGGUGCUCCAGUAAUGAGGCGCAUUGCAGAAACCUCUCUUUCAGUCUGGUGUUGAAUUCCGCGGAUGACUCAAAGGAGUCCGGUAAUGCGACGUUUAAGGUUAUUACAGUCGUGUACAAAUGUUUACACAUUGGUGAUCUGGAGGAAACCUAUUCCAGGAGAAGGAAUUCAAUUAACCACUUCCCUACGUUCAGCGUAGACGCGAACACCAUCGGUCGCCGCGACGCAGUGCCGGAGAUUGAAACAGUUCUGAAACCGUACUCCGUAUUAUCACUUGAAACUGAUUUUAAAGCUGAAUGCGUGCAAGUCCAUGUACAAAACAAAAGCAUUUCCAUUUUCCCCUGUGAGUUAAUGACAUCAAAAGAAAAUUGCAUCUUUUGUCGAUGUAGAGGAAGUGGUAUAUUUUCCGUGAUAGCGAGCAAUCAACCUACCUCGAAAUCUGUGAGAACAGAGUACUUCCAUUCCAAGGUGUGUUUCAUCACUGGCUUCAUCAUCACGUUAUUUAUCAUCUUGCAAAACAUUUGGAGAAUAUCGUGGAGAAUAAAGAUGAAAAUCUUUCUCCUCACAUAGACGUGGGUCCGUGUCCCCGCAUGCGUUUACCAUUUUUAAGAUGAAGAUAACUGUGAUAAAAAAAUAUUUCAGAGAGCGCACUCUUGUGAUGUUUUGCAGAAGACAACCAGUUGAAUGGCAGACCUGCACCCUGAGGUCGACUUUUUCCCCAUGCUCAACCCUUGCACUAACUCCGAAUGCUUUCGGCUAGAAACCCUGGAAUCCCUCCGCAAUAUUGUUCUUUAACCUAAUUUUCUAUGUGUGUCUGUAGUAAUAAGUGUUUGUGAAUUUUGUAGGGUAGUUGUGUUUGUGAAGAUUAAAAAUAGUGCAUUUAAAACCGGGCAGUUCCUUAUAAAAUCACAACACACCACUAUUUGCUAAUUUUUUUAUAUUUUCUCUAUACAUUAUCCAUUUCAUAAAUUCUCUCUUUCCCAGAGACCCAUUAAUAUUUCUAAAGAAAAAAAAAGUAUUUUAGACGAAACCCUCUGGCUUAGCAUGAGAAUAAUAAUAUCUAUGUAGACUGAACCGCUAAUGCUUUUGUAAAAAAGAACUAUAAUAAUAUAAACAUCUGAGGAAAGAUCAUUGAAAAUGUUCUGGGAGAGUAGAAUUCCAGUUAUGAGAUCGCAACGAUUAGGAUGGAACGAUUAGGAAGAGGAAAACGUGAAUAAAAUGAGGAAAUUAAAUAAAAAGAAUGUCAGAAAAACUGAGCUGUAAUUCAUUUCAUUCUCCGUUUAGCCAACAGAAAACUAACGACUCUAAACUUUACAUAAAAUUGAAACUGUCAGUUGAAAUUAUCUAUGAAAGAUUACUACCUAAGUAUGCAGUAAAAUUACAUAUCUCAAAUAAUAAUAAAACAAAAGUGGCUCACUCUGUGUAUUAGUGCUCUUCAAGCCAAUACGAGAAAAUUUGGCCUAUAUAUAUAUAUAUAUCGUGAAGAAUAAGUAUAUGCAUUGAAGAGAUUUUCUUAUUUAAAAAUUUAAAAUUUUUUAAUUCAUUAAAAAUUGAGCUGUAUUUUGAAGCUUCUCCACUAUAACUUCCGAAACUUUUAUGACAAAAUUAAUUUUUACAUAAUCUUAAAAAUUUUUUUAAAAAGUAUAUAUUUUCAAUAAUAUUUAUUAUUUUGCCUUAUAUUUAUUUUCUAUUUUACAUAAAUUCUUGAAAAAUAUUUUCACGACAUUUCCUAACAGUUGAUUUUCCAUCUGUAUCUUUACUCGGAGUAAAGAUGAGUGUUUUGACAUUCCAUAGGCUGGACGGUUUGCCCUAGAGCUACUAAACUUGGUGCAUUUAAAUUUCGAAGAGAGAAAAUGUGCAUCUCGGAGCAAUGUUUUAAAAUUCUUAUAAAAUUAAAAAAUUAUUAAAAUUCCAAUUAAAAAAUAAUAUUUAAAAAUUU